UGGGGAAUUUUGGACAAUGGGCGAAAGCCUGAUCAAGCAAUGCCGCGUGCAGGAAGAAGGCCUUCGGGUUGUAAACUGCUUUUGUACGGAACGAAACGGUCUUUUUUAAUACAAGGGGCUAAUGACGGUACCGUAAGAAUAAGCACCCGCUAACUACGUGCCAGCAGCCGCGGUAAUACGAAGGGUGCAAGCGUUACUCGGAAUUACUGGGCGUAAAGCGUGAGUAGGUGGUUUCUUAAGUCUGCUGUGAAAGCCCCGGGCUCAACCUGGGAACUGCAUUUGUGACUGCAUAGCUGGAGUGCGGCAGAGGGGGAUGGAAUUCCGCGUGUAGCAGUGAAAUGCGUAGAUAUGCGGAGGAACACCGAUGGCGAAGGCAAUCCCCUGGGCCUGCACUGACGCUCAUGCACGAAAGCGUGGGGAGCAAACA
Molecule: ribosomal RNA, 427 nt
Filed under: uncultured bacterium
Lineage: Bacteria
Description: bacterial SSU rRNA
Rfam family: Bacterial small subunit ribosomal RNA
Source: RNAcentral